GACGAACGCUGGCGGCGUGCUUAACACAUGCAAGUCGAACGGAAAGGCCCUGCUUUUGUGGGGUGCUCGAGUGGCGAACGGGUGAGUAACACGUGAGUAACCUGCCCUUGACUUUGGGAUAACUUCAGGAAACUGGGGCUAAUACCGGAUAGGAGCUCCUGCUGCAUGGUGGGGGUUGGAAAGUUUCGGCGGUUGGGGAUGGACUCGCGGCUUAUCAGCUUGUUGGUGGGGUAGUGGCUUACCAAGGCUUUGACGGGUAGCCGGCCUGAGAGGGUGACCGGGCACAUGGGGACUGAGUGAGCGCCCAGGCGGCUACGGGAGGCAGCAGUGGGGAAUAUUGCACAAUGGGCGGAAGCCUGAUGCGGCAACGCCGCGUGCGGGAUGACGGCCUUCGGGUUGUAAACCGCGUUCGCCUGUGACGAAGCGUGAGUGAAGGUAAUGGGUAAAGAAGCACCGGCUAACUACGUG
This 468-nucleotide ribosomal RNA is filed under the name uncultured bacterium. Its description in RNAcentral is "partial 16S ribosomal RNA". It matches the Rfam family "Bacterial small subunit ribosomal RNA", at positions 28 to 507 of the family's 1533-position model. The record is from RNAcentral.